AUACGGAGGAAGCAAGCGUUAUUCGGAAUCACUGGGCGUAAAGGACGCGUAGGCGGGUUUGUAAGUCAGGUGUGAAAUCCUACAGCUCAACUGUAGAACUGCACUUGAAACUACAGACCUAGAGUAUGGAAGGGGCAGAUGGAAUUAGUGGUGUAGGGGUAAAAUCCGUAGAUAUCACUAGGAAUACCGAAAGCGAAGGCGAUCUGCUGGGACAUUACUGACGCUGAGGCGUGAAAGCGUGGGGAGCAAACAGGAUUAGAAACCCGGGUAGUCC
Molecule: ribosomal RNA, 274 nt
Filed under: uncultured bacterium
Lineage: Bacteria
Description: partial 16S ribosomal RNA
Rfam family: Bacterial small subunit ribosomal RNA
Source: RNAcentral